Molecule: ribosomal RNA, 490 nt
Filed under: uncultured Eubacteriales bacterium
Lineage: Bacteria; Bacillati; Bacillota; Clostridia; Eubacteriales
Description: uncultured Clostridiales bacterium partial 16S ribosomal RNA
Source: RNAcentral
CACGUAGUUAGCCGGGGCUUCUUAUUUGGGUACCGUCAUUUCUUUCUUCCCUAUUGAUAGAAGUUUACAAUCCGAAAACCGUCUUCCUUCACGCGGCGUUGCUGCAUCAGGCUUUCGCCCAUUGUGCAAUAUUCCCCACUGCUGCCUCCCGUAGGAGUUUGGGCCGUGUCUCAGUCCCAAUGUGGCCGGUCACCCUCUCAGGUCGGCUACUGAUCGUUGCCUUGGUGGGCUAUUAUCUCACCAACUAGCUAAUCAGAUGCGGGCCCAUCUUUUACCGAAUAAAUCCUUUCUUUCUUAGAAGAUGCCUUCCAAGAACCGUAUGCGGUAUUAGUCGUCGUUUCCAACGAUUAUUCCACAGUAAAAGGCAGGUUACCCACACGUUACUCACCCGUCCGCCGCUAAAAUAUCAAAAGCAAAGCUCUCAAUUAUUUCGCUCGACUUGCAUGUGUUAAGCACGCCGCAGCGUUCAUCCUGAGCCAGAUCAAACUCU